AAAAUUUUAAAGGUCGAACAGACCUAGAAAUUAAGCUUCUACACCUAAUUCUAAUUUUAAUCCAACAUCGAGGUCGCAAACUUUUCUAUUGAUAAGAACUCUCCAGAAAAAUUACG
RNAcentral lists this ribosomal RNA (116 nucleotides) under Zicrona caerulea. RNAcentral describes it as "partial 16S ribosomal RNA". The record is from RNAcentral. Lineage: Eukaryota; Metazoa; Arthropoda; Insecta; Hemiptera; Pentatomidae.